This 497-nucleotide ribosomal RNA is filed under the name uncultured bacterium. RNAcentral's name for it is "partial 16S ribosomal RNA". It matches the Rfam family "Bacterial small subunit ribosomal RNA", at positions 28 to 507 of the family's 1533-position model. The record is from RNAcentral.
GAUGGACGCUGGCGGCGUGCCUAAUACAUGCAAGUCGAGCGAACAGACGAGGAGCUUGCUCCUCUGACGUUAGCGGCGGACGGGUGAGUAACACGUGGAUAACCUACCUAUAAGACUGGGAUAACUUCGGGAAACCGGAGCUAAUACCGGAUAAUAUAUUGAACCGCAUGGUUCAAUAGUGAAAGACGGUUUUGCUGUCACUUAUAGAUGGAUCCGCGCCGCAUUAGCUAGUUGGUAAGGUAACGGCUUACCAAGGCAACGAUGCGUAGCCGACCUGAGAGGGUGAUCGGCCACACUGGAACUGAGCCACGGUCCAGACUCCUACGGGAGGCAGCAGUAGGGAAUCUUCCGCAAUGGGCGAAAGCUUGACGGAGCAACGCCGCGUGAGUGAUGAAGGUCUUCGGAUCGUAAAACUCUGUUAUUAGGGAAGAACAAAUGUGUAAGUAACUAUGCACGUCUUGACGGUACCUAAUCAGAAAGCCACGGCUAACUACGUG